Molecule: long non-coding RNA, 1793 nt
Filed under: Setaria italica (foxtail millet)
Lineage: Eukaryota; Viridiplantae; Streptophyta; Magnoliopsida; Poales; Poaceae
Description: long non-coding RNA (SITA_LNC000034)
Source: RNAcentral
UUGAUGGUGGACGAGUGUACAAAUCUUCAUAGAUGGGCGUAAUAGUUUUAAUAUUAGCGUGGCAAAGAAUAGCUCUAUUCCAAAUGUUGAAUUUUUAAUAAUGUGAAUUAUAUAUUAUGUAUGAUGUAGUUUUGAAUAAUGUGAAUUAUUUAUUAUUCAAAUUUGUUGCUAUGUGGUUGGAGAUACAUAUUUCAAUUUGACGGCUAAAAACUGACGGGAAAUAGAAAUUAUAAAUUGCGAAACGGGCCGUCAAAAACUGACGGAAAAUAGAAAUUAUAAAUAAUUCAUGAGAAAUAAUAUAUUGAAUGGGAAAAUAUAUAUUCCAGAUGGGCGGCAGAAGCACCCGCCAUCUGUGCUGGCGGGUGGCUAACGUCGCCCGCCAGCACAGACGACAUUUGUUCUGGUGGAUGCUCGACCCGCCAGCACAUGCACUUGUAGUCAGCAGCACAAAUCUUUUAUGACCUAGUGAAAGCCGGUCGUCGAGAAUUUGAAGAGCGCGAAGCAAAACGCGCAACCGGCGACGACGAGCACGAGUGCGGCCCACGGGCUGCUGCAGUGGUCACGCAGGAACUCGGCCUUGUGCCUGCGCCAGCUCGAGCGGUAGUACCGGUUCAGAUCGGCGAACAUGGCGGCGAAGCUGUGGUCCUCGUACUCCAAGCUGGCGCAGUCGCCCAGCUGCUGGAAGACCUUGGCCGCCGCGUCGUCAUCGGUGCCCAGGAGGUUGUCGACGACGCCGCGCUUCUGGAGGUGCUCCACGUCCUCGCCCGUCCUAACCCGGGAACCCACCAGCGCCGCGUAGCGCGACACCGGUGGACGUGGCUCUUGGCAGGCGAACUCAUCCUUUUGGUGGUGCCACGCAUCCUGCACUUUGUCCUUCACCUUGGAAAUGCCAGGGAUGUGAGUUACUCGUCUUGGCUCCUUUUUGUUUCGAGCCGGAGCCGGCUGCGCCUUCGAGCUAGUUCCACCACUCCCAGGCUGCGGCACCGGUAGAUCGGCGAACAUGGCGGCGAAGCUAUGGUCCUCGUACUCCAAGCUGGCGCAGUCGCCCAGCUGCUGGAAGAACUUGGCCGCCGCGUCGUCGUCGGUGCCCAGGAGGUUGUCGACGAUGCCGCGCUUCUGAAGGUGCUCCACGUCCUCGCCCGUCCUCACCCGGGAACCCACCAGCGCCGCAUAGCGCGACACCGGUGGACGUGGAUCUUGGCAGGCGAACUCAUCCUUUUGGUGGUGCCACGCAUCCUGCACUUUGCCCUUCACCUUGGAAAUGCCAGGGAUGUGAGUUACUCGUCUUGGCUCCUUUUUGUUUCGAGCCGGUGCCGGCAGCGCCCUCGAGCUAGUUCCACCACUCCCAGGCUGCGGCACCGGUGGACGUGGAUCUUGGUAGGCGAAGUCGCUCCUGCUUUGGGCUUCCCAUCCCGGACUGGGACUGGCUCCUCCUCCUCCUACCAUGGUCAGGCGGCCAAAGGCUGAUGAGAGUACGGAAUCCGUAUAGAAAUGGCAGGCAACUUUAAACCUCAAACAUAUUACAAAUUAAACUCUUCCAUCGAUAUAGCAGCGCUGCUAGCCUAAUUAGAAGUAUAAAAUCACUGCUACUACUGAAAAAUGGAACCGAAAUCGUAGCUAAAUCGAAGAUCUUGUGCACCUAGCUAUAGUUGUUACCUUCUUCAGCAGAGGAGGACGCUUGCCUGUUUUUUGCGUAAAAGGAAAAUGCCAUCAGUUGAUUGUAAUGCUCUCCAGCUUAGACCCGGAUCAAUUGUAGCAGGAGAGUAGUAGUGCUCAACAUGAGCUGAACCCGU